UACGAAGGGGGCUAGCGUUGUUCGGAAUUACUGGGCGUAAAGGGCGCGUAGGCGGCCUCGUCCGUCCGGCGUGAAAUGCCUGGGCUCAACCCAGGAAUUGCGCUCGAUACAGCGAGGCUAGAGUGUGGGAGAGGUUGGUGGAAUUCCCAGUGUAGAGGUGAAAUUCGUAGAUAUUGGGAAGAACACCGGUGGCGAAGGCGGGUCUCUGGGCCGUUACUGACGCUGAGGAGCGAAAGCGUGGGGAGCGAACAGG
Molecule: ribosomal RNA, 253 nt
Filed under: uncultured bacterium
Lineage: Bacteria
Description: partial 16S ribosomal RNA
Rfam family: Bacterial small subunit ribosomal RNA
Source: RNAcentral